Non-coding RNA from Plicaturopsis crispa FD-325 SS-3, 107 nucleotides. The record is from the annotation of a GenBank genome assembly. NCBI's taxonomy places the organism in Eukaryota, Fungi, Basidiomycota, Agaricomycetes, Amylocorticiales, Amylocorticiaceae.
UCCGGUAUGGUGUAUCGGCUAACAUUGCCGCCUUUCACGAGGAUGACUAAGCAACAGUCACGUGACGGCAUCCGCGGCAGCGCCGGGUUCGAUUCCCGGUACCGGAA